AUGUUAUUAUCCUGUCGUUGAACUCGAACGUGUAAAAUGUUCGCAAAUCUUGAAAUAAAUCGUGGAUUUAUGAAACGGAAUAUGUUUGCUUUGAUGGUAUCAAUCGUAAUAGGUACCUAUGUAAUGAUACGUUUUAAGCAAACUUUGCAACUGCCACCAUCCACGGAAAUGCCAUAAACUACGCAAGCGCCACCAAAGGAGUUUUGUACAAAAACUAUCCCCCCCGCUGAGUAUACCAUAUGUACAUGGGAUGUACAGAUAGACGGUAUAGUUUCCGGGGUAAUACACAGUACAGGCCAAUGGGAGACGCAUAUAACACGUAAACUUUACACUGUUCUAAAACAAGAUAGAAAUAUAACAUUUAUUGAUAUUGGUGCUAACAUUGGUUAUUUUAGUUUACUCGCUGCUUCAGUAGGACAAACGGUGAUUUCAGUGGAGCCCUGGAACGAGAAUAUAGAAAAGUUACGAAUUUCCAUUCGAAAGAACAAAUUUGAAGGCAGGAUAACUAUUUUGAAUAACGCUGUUUCAAACGAUCGGCGAUUGAUACAUUUUCAUGCACCAUACAAGAAUAACCUAGGUGCUACAAGAUUGUUGCCCGAUCCGACUAAGACUGAUAUCAAUGUUUUUUUCAGCUACGACUAUUAUUUUAAACGAUCUGGUAAACUACAUCCAUACUUAAGAUAUCGUCAUUAAAAUAGACAUAGAAGGUAAUGAAUGCAGAGCGCUAGAGAAGUCGAAAGAAAUAUUUGAUAAAUUCAAUGUUUUAUUCAUAUCUAUGGAAUGGGUCGUGAUGAAGAAGUUUGAACAUGAGAUUAACACCGCUUGUUCACGGGAAAAUAUAGAGCAGAUGGUGGACUUUUUGACAAAACAGAGCUUUGUGCCUUUUGGCGCUUCCAAUAAUUUACCACUAAAUCCUAAAGAGAAUAAAAAAUGGACAGAAGUCGACGUAUACUGGAAACCAAAAUAUGCAUAACGUUAAAUACAAUGUUUACAUAAAAAAGCUUAGCUGUGGAAUUUACACUUUGAAAUAUGCUUUCAAAACAACCUGAGAAUUCAAAACUAGAUUGUUAGUUUUCUUUAGAAGAUUAGCAAGAACAGUAAGAGCAGAGUUGUGGUCAUUUUCCAACAUCUUCAAAACAAUCGAAUUCAUUUUAACAAAAAGGAUAUGUAUUGCAUUUGUGUUAUCAGUGUUAUCAAAAUGUUUAUGACAUUGCAGAAUGAACCAGAUGUGUUUACUUCUGACAACUUGUGAAAUAUGUUUAAUAUAUAUAUGCAACACAACUUUUAAGCACAAUCCGUAUUUUUCACUUAGUCAACGACCAUAACUCUGAUCUGUCUGAGUGUAAUCCCAAACAGAACACCAGUUGCACAACUUCACAUGCUAUUCAACAAUCCUUUAUUAUGUUUUAUUACUGUAGGCCAAGGACAUUUUGAUAUAUUUGGAAAAAUAUUAUGCUCUAAAUGCAUAUUUUGAACUAAGCCAUAAACCGUGACAUUAGUCAUACAGCUCGAUAUAUUAUUAUACAAGAUGCAGGAGUUUCAAUGCUGUAUAAUAUUCCUACAUGAUUCCAUGACUCAAACUAUUGUUUCAAGAUUAAUAUAUAUGACACACAAACAUGUAUUCCAUUUAGUACAUAUUUUUGACAAUCAAGCGCUAUAAGUCUAAUCUGACCGAUAGAAAGUCAAACAUGGCCAAAGGUACAUACGGUAAUGAUAUUUCAUUGGUGUUUUAUUAUCCAAAGUCAAACAUUUUUUGAGAAAUAUUCGAAACAAUCUUUUAGGCCCAUUUUAAAGCUUAUGUUUUACAAAUACAAGGGCCUGCACUUUGGUCUGGCUGAGAAAUAUCUCCUAACAAAACCCCUGGUGCAUACUAUUUUAUGUUCAGUGAUAGUCUUGUAAAUUUUCCUAAUCAUAGGUCAUAUACAUUUUAAGAUACAUGGAAAACUAACUUUAAGACCUUUUUUUAAUAUAAACAAUCAAGGGCCAUGCUAUUUAAUCUAUGAUAAUUCAGGAACUUGUUAUUAUGUAUGUUGCAUUCUGUUUUUAACUGACUGAAAGUUUUAAAACUAUUUGUGAAAUUCUCAA
Long non-coding RNA from Mercenaria mercenaria, 2085 nucleotides. RefSeq lists it as uncharacterized. The record is from RefSeq and is a predicted model, not a curated record. The transcript has 3 exons. Lineage: Eukaryota; Metazoa; Mollusca; Bivalvia; Venerida; Veneridae.